RNAcentral lists this ribosomal RNA (480 nucleotides) under uncultured bacterium. RNAcentral's name for it is "partial 16S ribosomal RNA". It matches the Rfam family "Bacterial small subunit ribosomal RNA", at positions 30 to 507 of the family's 1533-position model. The record is from RNAcentral.
AUUGAACGCUCGCGGCAGGCUUAACACAUGCAAGUCGAACGAUGACUCUCUAGCUUGCUAGAGAUGAUUAGUGGCGGACGGGUGAGUAACAUUUAGGAAUCUACCUAGUAGUGGGGGAUAGCUCGGGGAAACUCGAAUUAAUACCGCAUACGACCUACGGGUGAAAGGGGGCGCAAGCUCUUGCUAUUAGAUGAGCCUAAAUCAGAUUAGCUAGUUGGUGGGGUAAAGGCCCACCAAGGCGACGAUCUGUAACUGGUCUGAGAGGAUGAUCAGUCACACCGGAACUGAGACACGGUCCGGACUCCUACGGGAGGCAGCAGUGGGGAAUAUUGGACAAUGGGGGCAACCCUGAUCCAGCCAUGCCGCGUGUGUGAAGAAGGCCUUUUGGUUGUAAAGCACUUUAAGCAGGGAGGAGAGGCUAAUGGUUAAUACCCAGUAGAUUAGACGUUACCUGCAGAAUAAGCACCGGCUAACUCUGUG